This is a long non-coding RNA of Gasterosteus aculeatus aculeatus (three-spined stickleback), 962 nucleotides long. The record is from Ensembl. NCBI's taxonomy places the organism in Eukaryota, Metazoa, Chordata, Actinopteri, Perciformes, Gasterosteidae.
GAAGACGCAGCUCUGGCAGGCGGGAUUCUUCUACCAAGCUACAGGGAGGAGAAUGAUGCACGUGAAGGGCCACACCUGAAGAACCUCGGGGACAGAGGCAGGUGAUCCUCAGUGCAAACUGAAACGACAAGGCGUGCACUCAUGUCAACGAGCCGGUCAAAUUUCAUGUGGACACCAAACGCACGGCCAUGCUUCAGCAACGGCGUGAAGUCCAUGACCUCAUCAAAAUGCACAACCUGAUGGCAACGAUGCAGAACUGGAGCCUCAAUAAUCCAGUAGAUCACCGGCUCACAGACAUCCGACAGCUGGAAGAUCGGCAAGCAUUCAGACAUCCCGUGAAAUUGAAUCAUUGUUGUGCCACAGGGCACGUUACCCAAGUGUGAACUUUGGUUUUGGAGAUCAACGGUUUCGAUCUUCUAAUAGAGAAUGCAACUGCCCCAACGCAUACAUGCUUGCAGCCAUUGCAAUUUUGCUGCUGUUUCAUUUUAUGCUAUGGUUUUAAUGAAUGUUUUGCAUGUGAAUCUUUAGCAUUAUACUUUGAGAGAUGAGUGGAACAACCAAGUCCUGUGGAAAUAACUUACUUACUUAGUUGAGUCUGUUGAACAUGUGGCUUUCGAUGAACAAACCUUUGAGUGAGUUAAAGAGCUCGCCGCUUAAACCCGAGAAGAGAUUCUUCGCUGCUUGCCACGUUAAGCAAACAAUGGAGUUGCUGGCAGGCAUGAAGACUUCAGGAGAAAAGUCAUUUAAAAAGGUGUUUUAGAGUGUCUGCCAUCCAGGCUGUUUAGAGGAGCAGGGAGGGAAAAUGGACAUCAGCUUGUGAUUCAGCAGCAGCCAAACCUCACCAAACACGGCGGAGAGGGACGUAAUCCAGAUGCUAUUACUGCUGAACUGGCACUUUUUUGCCAGGACGCAGGGGUUUCCCAAACCUUUCCUGGGGGAGGGGGGGACCAAAUCAACAGGUG